GGUGGCGCGGAUCUUCAGAGAUUAGAGUUUGAUCAUGGCUCAGGAUGAACGCUGGCGGCGUGCUUAAGACAUGCAAGUCGAACGCAAUCCAAGUAGCAAUACUGGGGUUGAGUGGCGAAUGGGUGCGUAACACGUAGGUGACCUGCCCGAAAGUGGGGAAUAACAGUCCGAAAGGACUGCUAAUACCGCAUGUGAUGGUUGGGGUGAGAGCCCCGAUCUUCAAAGGUUCGCAAGAACCGCUUUCGGAGGGGCCUGCGGCCCAUCAGCUAGUUGGUUGGGUAACGGCCAACCAAGGCAACGACGGGUAGGGGACCUCAGAGGGUGGCCCCCCACACUGGCACUGACACACGGGCCAGACUCCUACGGGAGGCAGCAGUCGGGAAUAUUGCCCAAUGCGCGAAAGCGUGAGGCAGCAACGCCGCGUGCGCGAUGAAGGCCUUCGGGUCGUAAAGCGCUUUUCGGUGGGAUGAGGAAGGACAGUACCACCGGAAUAAGGGACGGCUAACUACGUGCCAGCAGCCGCGGUAAAACGUAGGUCCCGAGCGUUAUCCGGAUUUACUGGGCGUAAAGGGCGUUCAGGCGGUGGGCUAAGUCAGGCAUGAAAUCUCACAGCUCAACCGAGAGAGGCUGUCUGAGACUGGCACACUUGAGGGCAGUCGAGGGUGGUGGAAUUCCGGGUGUAGUGGUGAAAUGCGUAGAGAUCCGGAGGAACACCAGUGGCGAAAGCGGCCACCUGGGCUGUACCUGACGCUGACACGCGAAAGCUAGGGGAGCGAACGGGAUUAGAAACCCCGGUAGUCCUAGCCGUAAACGAUGUUGACCAGGUGUCGGCGGUCUAAACCCCGUCGGUGCCGGCGCUAACGCACGAAGUCAACCGCCUGGGGGACUACGGCCGCAAGUUAAAACUCAAGGAAUUGACGGGGACCUGCACAAGCAGCGGAGUCGUGUGGUUUAAUUCGAGGCUAA
Molecule: ribosomal RNA, 966 nt
Filed under: uncultured bacterium
Lineage: Bacteria
Description: bacterial SSU rRNA
Rfam family: Bacterial small subunit ribosomal RNA
Source: RNAcentral